UAGGGAAUCUUCGGCAAUGGACGAAAGUCUGACCGAGCAACGCCGCGUGAGUGAAGAAGGUUUUCGGAUCGUAAAACUCUGUUGUUAGAGAAGAACAAGGACGUUAGUAACUGAACGUCCCCUGACGGUAUCUAACCAGAAAGCCACGGCUAACUACGUGCAAGCAGCCGCGGUAAUACGUAGGUGGCAAGCGUUGUCCGGGUUUAUUGGGCGUAAAGCGAGCGCAGGCGGUUUCUUAAGUCUGAUGUGAAAGCCCCCGGCUCAACCGGGGAGGGUCAUUGGAAACUGGGAGACUUGGGUGCAGAAGAGGGGAGUGGAAUUCCAUGUGUAGCGGUGAAAUGCGUAGAUGUAUGGAGGAACACAAGUGGCGAAGGCGGCUCUCUGGUCUGUAACUGACGCUGAGGCUCGAAAGCGUGGGGAGCAAACAGG
This 429-nucleotide ribosomal RNA is filed under the name Gemmatimonadota bacterium. RNAcentral describes it as "Gemmatimonadetes bacterium partial 16S ribosomal RNA". It matches the Rfam family "Bacterial small subunit ribosomal RNA", at positions 355 to 776 of the family's 1533-position model. The record is from RNAcentral. Lineage: Bacteria; Pseudomonadati; Gemmatimonadota.